Molecule: transfer RNA, 74 nt
Filed under: Vibrio cholerae
Lineage: Bacteria; Pseudomonadati; Pseudomonadota; Gammaproteobacteria; Vibrionales; Vibrionaceae
Description: tRNA-???(tc)
Rfam family: tRNA
About the family: Transfer RNA (tRNA) molecules are approximately 80 nucleotides in length.
Source: RNAcentral
GCGCCCGUAGCUCAGCUGGAUAGAGCGUUGGCCUCNNCCAAAGGUCGAAGGUUCAAAUCCUUUCGGGCGCGCCA